UCCGGGGUCGGGUAAUCGGUAGCCCGCCUGCCUGUUAAGCAGGAACGGUGUGGGUUCGAGUCCCACCUCCGGAGCCA
Molecule: transfer RNA, 77 nt
Filed under: Planctomycetaceae bacterium
Lineage: Bacteria; Pseudomonadati; Planctomycetota; Planctomycetia; Planctomycetales; Planctomycetaceae
Description: tRNA-Asn
Rfam family: tRNA
About the family: Transfer RNA (tRNA) molecules are approximately 80 nucleotides in length.
Source: RNAcentral